RNAcentral lists this ribosomal RNA (496 nucleotides) under uncultured bacterium. RNAcentral describes it as "bacterial SSU rRNA". It matches the Rfam family "Bacterial small subunit ribosomal RNA", at positions 16 to 507 of the family's 1533-position model. The record is from RNAcentral.
AUCCUGGCUCAGAUUGAACGCUGGCGGCAUGCCUUACACAUGCAAGUCGAACGGCAGCACGGGAGCAAUCCUGGUGGCGAGUGGCGAACGGGUGAGUAAUAUAUCGGAACGUGCCCAGUCGUGGGGGAUAACGUAGCGAAAGCUACGCUAAUACCGCAUACGAUCUAUGGAUGAAAGCGGGGGAUCGCAAGACCUCGCGCGAUUGGAGCGGCCGAUAUCAGAUUAGGUAGUUGGUGAGGUAAAGGCUCACCAAGCCGACGAUCUGUAGCUGGUUUGAGAGAACGACCAGCCACACUGGGACUGAGACACGGCCCAGACUCCUACGGGAGGCAGCAGUGGGGAAUUUUGGACAAUGGGCGAAAGCCUGAUCCAGCAAUGCCGCGUGCAGGAAGAAGGCCUUCGGGUUGUAAACUGCUUUUGUACGGAACGAAAAGGCUCUUUCUAAUAAAGAGGGCCCAUGACGGUACCGUAAGAAUAAGCACCGGCUAACUACGUG